Molecule: ribosomal RNA, 408 nt
Filed under: uncultured bacterium
Lineage: Bacteria
Description: partial 16S ribosomal RNA
Rfam family: Bacterial small subunit ribosomal RNA
Source: RNAcentral
GACGAACGCUGGCGGCCUGCUUAACACAUGCAAGUCGAACGAAGUGGCGAGCGGGUGAGUAACGCGUAAUCAACCUGCCCUUCAGAGGGGGACAACAGUUGGAAACGACUGCUAAUACCGCAUACUGAAGGAGGGGAUUGCGUCUGAUUAGCUAGUUGGAGGGGUAACGGCCCACCAAGGCGAUGAUCAGUAGGCGGUGUGGGAGGAUGGACGGCCACAAUGGGACUGGGACACGGGCCAGACUCCUACGGGAGGCAGCAGUGGGGGAUCUUCCGCAAUGGACGAAAAGCUGGCGGAGCAACGCCGGGGGGGUGAUGGCGGCCUUCGGGUUGUAAAGCUCUGUUAAUCGGGACGCGGUACCGGAAUAGAAAGCCACGGCUAACUACGUGCCAGCCGCCGCGGUAAUAC